AUCACCCAUGUUUCUUGUUAAAAUGUAGAUUCUGAUUCAGUAGAUCCAAGGUGGGUUCUGAAAUUCUACAUUUCUAAAAAGUUCUCAAGUGAUGCUGA
Molecule: microRNA precursor, 98 nt
Filed under: Camelus bactrianus (Bactrian camel)
Lineage: Eukaryota; Metazoa; Chordata; Mammalia; Artiodactyla; Camelidae
Also listed under: 2 other names
Description: mir-544 microRNA precursor family
Rfam family: mir-544 microRNA precursor family
Source: Rfam by way of RNAcentral